GAUGAACGCUGGCGGCGUGCCUAAUACAUGCAAGUCGAACGAAACUUCUUUGUCACCGAGUGCUUGCACUCACCGAUAAAGAGUUGAGUGGCGAACGGGUGAGUAACACGUGGGCAACCUGCCCAAAAGAGGGGGAUAACACUUGGAAACAGGUGCUAAUACCGCAUAACCAUAGUUACCGCAUGGUAACUAUGUAAAAGGUGGCUAUACUACCGCUUUUGGAUGGGCCCGCGGCGCAUUAGCUAGUUGGUAGGGUAAAGGCUUACCAAGGCAAUGAUGCGUAGCCGAAUUGAGAGGUUGAUCGGCCACAUUGGGACUGAGACACGGCCCAAACUCCUACGGGAGGCAGCAGUAGGGAAUCUUCCACAAUGGGCGAAAGCCUGAUGGAGCAACGCCGCGUGGGUGAAGAAGGUCUUCGGAUCGUAAAACCCUGUUGUUAGAGAAGAAAGUGCGUGAGAGUAACUGUUCACGUUUCGACGGUAUCUAACCGGAAAGCCACGGCUAACUACGUG
RNAcentral lists this ribosomal RNA (512 nucleotides) under uncultured bacterium. RNAcentral's name for it is "partial 16S ribosomal RNA". It matches the Rfam family "Bacterial small subunit ribosomal RNA", at positions 28 to 507 of the family's 1533-position model. The record is from RNAcentral.